AUAAAGUAUAACAUAAAGAAUAUGUCAACACUAUCUAUAGGUAAAACCCAACAAUAAAUGCUCCCGUUGUGGUCCCUCAUAUCAGAUCCAGAUGUCUCUUUGACACCGGCGCAGGGAGACAGAACUCUAAUGUAUUUUAUAUUGAAACCAAAUCCAGCAUUGAGAGUGGAAAUGCCACGGCCUGCGCCGUCUAACAGCUCCUGAAAGAGGCGCGAGUCUGAGUGGGCUGACAGUACCUAGUCUAACCCAGCAUCCUGCGUGCCAGGCCGCCCGCGUGACAGCUCUCCUCACGCAGUGAAAGAGUCAGGGCUGAUUCCUGUGGGAUCUCUUCGCAAACAAAGGACAAUGCCGCUGGAUUUCCUCUGGGAACUGCAAGUUUGGCCGGAAGAUUUGAGCAUACUGCAGAUUGAUAAUGGCUCUGGUGGUGGUUCUCAGGGAGUGUAACAGUGUGUAACCUUGAUACUUUUGGACUUGAUCCUCAGUUUGAUGUCAGCUUUGGGACUGAUGAGGUGUGUGUGCUUGUGUGAGGUGAACUGUAUAUAGGUUAGUUAGAGAGCCAGUCAUCCUAUGCGUUCUUCGUAAUCCUUUCAUGAGUGCCUCAUUAGCCUGUGAUGGCCAAACCACAAGAGUGUUUAAUCUUAACCCCGUGAUGGCGAGGAGACCGAAUCUACUUCUGUCCAUCUUCCCAGGGGUUCAAGACUCUGAGGUCCAUAUGGCAGGACAUAGAAGUGAAGUCAGCAUUGUUUUACGAGCCUGCUGCUUUCAUUUUAGGCCAACAUGGCUACAUCUUGGAUUAUUGAUUUUUUCUAAUGAAUAUGUCUUGACUAAUGGGGGUCGUAUCCUAUUGUCCAGUCGAGAUGUGAAUGAUUGCCUUUUUUGAAGGUAGAAGUAAAAGAGAA
This is a long non-coding RNA of Cyprinus carpio carpio, 899 nucleotides long. NCBI's taxonomy places the organism in Eukaryota, Metazoa, Chordata, Actinopteri, Cypriniformes, Cyprinidae. The record is from Ensembl.